AUUGAACGCUAGCGGCAGGCCUAACACAUGCAAGUCGAGCGAGCGGCGGACGGGUGAGUAAUGUCUGGGGACUGCCCGAUAGAGGGGGAUAACUACUGGAAACGGUAGCUAAUACCGCAUACUAUCGGAUAACCCAUAUGGGAUUAGCUAGUUGGUGAGGUAAUGGCUCACCAAGGCGACUAUCCCUAGCUGUUCUGAGAGGAUGAUCAGCCACACGGUGACCGCUACACGGCCCAGACUCCUACGGAGGCAGCAGUGGGGAAUAUUGCACAAUGGGCGCAAGCCUGAUGCAGCCAUGCCGCGGGUAUGAAGAAGGCCCUAGGGUUGUAAAGUACUUUCAGUCGGGAGGCGUUACCGACAGAAGAAGCACCGGCUAACUCCGUGCCAGCAGCCGCGGUAAUAC
This 403-nucleotide ribosomal RNA is filed under the name uncultured bacterium. Its description in RNAcentral is "partial 16S ribosomal RNA". It matches the Rfam family "Bacterial small subunit ribosomal RNA", at positions 30 to 526 of the family's 1533-position model. The record is from RNAcentral.